Molecule: transfer RNA, 77 nt
Filed under: Candidatus Altimarinota bacterium
Lineage: Bacteria; Candidatus Altimarinota
Description: tRNA-His
Rfam family: tRNA
About the family: Transfer RNA (tRNA) molecules are approximately 80 nucleotides in length. Their secondary structure includes four short double-helical elements and three loops (D, anti-codon, and T loops). Further hydrogen bonds mediate the characteristic L-shaped molecular structure. tRNAs have two regions of fundamental functional importance: the anti-codon, which is responsible for specific mRNA codon recognition, and the 3' end, to which the tRNAs corresponding amino acid is attached (by aminoacyl-tRNA synthetases). tRNAs cope with the degeneracy of the genetic code in two manners: having more than one tRNA (with a specific anti-codon) for a particular amino acid; and 'wobble' base-pairing, i.e. permitting non-standard base-pairing at the 3rd anti-codon position.
Source: RNAcentral
GCGGAUGUAGUUCAGUUGGUUAGAACGUCAGACUGUGAAUCUGAAUGUCGUGGGUUCAAGUCCCAUCAUUCGCCCCA